GAGUAACGCGUGAGGAACCUGCCUCAAAGAGGGGGACAACAGUUGGAAACGACUGCUAAUACCGCAUAAGCCCACGGCUCGGCAUCGAGCAGAGGGAAAAGGAGCAAUCCGCUUUGAGAUGGCCUCGCGUCCGAUUAGCUAGUUGGUGAGGUAACGGCCCACCAAGGCGACGAUCGGUAGCCGGACUGAGAGGUUGAACGGCCACAUUGGGACUGAGACACGGCCCAGACUCCUACGGGAGGCAGCAGUGGGGAAUAUUGCACAAUGGGGGAAACCCUGAUGCAGCGACGCCGCGUGGAGGAAGAAGGUCUUCGGAUU
RNAcentral lists this ribosomal RNA (318 nucleotides) under uncultured bacterium. RNAcentral describes it as "bacterial SSU rRNA". It matches the Rfam family "Bacterial small subunit ribosomal RNA", at positions 108 to 424 of the family's 1533-position model. The record is from RNAcentral.